This 571-nucleotide ribosomal RNA is filed under the name uncultured Alphaproteobacteria bacterium. RNAcentral's name for it is "bacterial SSU rRNA". It matches the Rfam family "Bacterial small subunit ribosomal RNA", at positions 1 to 571 of the family's 1533-position model. The record is from RNAcentral. Lineage: Bacteria; Pseudomonadati; Pseudomonadota; Alphaproteobacteria.
CGCGUUGGGAGCUCUCCCAUAUGGUCGACCUGCAGGCGGCCGCGAAUUCACUAGUGAUUAGAGUUUGAUCAUGGCUCAGAACGAACGCUGGCGGCAUGCCUAACACAUGCAAGUCGAACGAACCCUUCGGGGUUAGUGGCGCACGGGUGCGUAACGCGUGGGAAUCUGCCCUUGGCUUCGGAAUAACAGUUAGAAAUGACUGCUAAUACCGGAUGAUGUCUUCGGACCAAAGAUUUAUCGCCCAAGGAUGAGCCCGCGUCGGAUUAGCUAGUUGGUGAGGUAAAGGCUCACCAAGGCGACGAUCCGUAGCUGGUCUGAGAGGAUGAUCAGCCACACUGGGACUGAGACACGGCCCAGACUCCUACGGGAGGCAGCAGUGGGGAAUAUUGGACAAUGGGCGAAAGCCUGAUCCAGCAAUGCCGCGUGAGUGAUGAAGGCCUUAGGGUUGUAAAGCUCUUUUACCCGGGAUGAUAAUGACAGUACCGGGAGAAUAAGCCCCGGCUAACUCCGUGCCAGCAGCCGCGGUAAUACGAAUCGAAUUCCCGCGGCCGCCAUGGCGGCCGGGAGCAUG